Molecule: ribosomal RNA, 171 nt
Filed under: Hemiboea follicularis
Lineage: Eukaryota; Viridiplantae; Streptophyta; Magnoliopsida; Lamiales; Gesneriaceae
Description: 5.8S ribosomal RNA
Rfam family: 5.8S ribosomal RNA (bases 2-135)
About the family: 5.8S ribosomal RNA (5.8S rRNA) is a component of the large subunit of the eukaryotic ribosome.
Source: RNAcentral
CGGCUCUCGCAUCGAUGAAGAACGUAGCGAAAUGCGAUACUUGGUGUGAAUUGCAGAAUCCCGUGAACCAUCGAGUCUUUGAACGCAAGUUGCGCCCGAAGCCAUUUGGCCGAGGGCACGUCUGCCUGGGCGUCACGCAUCUCUUCGCCACCCCCCCCCCCCCCCAACAUC